This 630-nucleotide ribosomal RNA is filed under the name Lactococcus lactis. RNAcentral describes it as "bacterial SSU rRNA". It matches the Rfam family "Bacterial small subunit ribosomal RNA", at positions 74 to 681 of the family's 1533-position model. Lineage: Bacteria; Bacillati; Bacillota; Bacilli; Lactobacillales; Streptococcaceae. The record is from RNAcentral.
UGGUACUUGUACCGACUGGAUGAGCAGCGAACGGGUGAGUAACGCGUGGGAGAAUCUGCCUUUGAGCGGGGGACAACAUUUGGAAACGAAUGCUAAUACCGCAUAAAAACUUUAAACACAAUGUUUUAAGUUUGAAAGAUGCAAUUGCAUCACUCUAAGAUGAUCCCGCGUUGGAUUAGCUAGUUGGUGAGGUAAAGGGGUCACCAAGGACGAUGAUACAUAAGCCGACCUGAAGAGGGUGAUCGGGCCACAUUGGGGACUGAGACACGGCCCAAACUCCUACGGGAGGCAGCAGUAGGGAAUCUUCCGCAAUGGGACGAAAGUCUGACCGAGCAACGCCGCGUGAGUGAAGAAGGGUUUCGGAUCGUAAAACUCUGGUGGUAUAGAAGAACGUUGGUGAGAGUGGAAAGAUCAUCAAGUGACGGUAACUACCCAGAAAGGGACGGCUAACUACGUGCCAGCAGCCGCGGUAAUACGUAUGUCCCGAGCGUUGUCCGGAUUUAUUGGGCGUAAAGCGAGCGCAGGUGGUUUAUUAAGUCUGGUGUAAAAGGCAGUGGCUCAACCAUUGAAUGCAUUGGAAACUGGUAGACUUGAGUGCAUGAGAAGAUAGUGGAAAUCCAUGUGUAACGG